This 955-nucleotide ribosomal RNA is filed under the name uncultured bacterium. Its description in RNAcentral is "bacterial SSU rRNA". It matches the Rfam family "Bacterial small subunit ribosomal RNA", at positions 8 to 916 of the family's 1533-position model. The record is from RNAcentral.
AGAGUUUGAUCAUGGCUCAGGAUUAACGCUGGCGGCGUGCAUACUACAUGCAAGUCGAACGGACCAACCUUGUGCUAGAGCUCGGGGACGGUAUGGCCGGGAGCUAUCUCGGGCGUGCCGUAAGCGAGGGAGAGAAUGAGGUUGGUCAGUGGCAAACGGGUGAGUAACACGUGGGUGACCUACCCUGAAGUGGGGGAUAACUGCUCGAAAGGGCAGCUAAUCCCGCAUGUGGUCCGUCACUGUGGUGGCGGAAGAAAGGCGUCUGAGACGUCGCUUUAGGAGGGGCCCGCGGCCUAUCAGCUAGUUGGUGGGGUAAAGGCCUACCAAGGCGAUGACGGGUAGCUGGUCUGAGAGGAUGGACAGCCACACUGGCACUGAGACACGGGCCAGACUCCUACGGGAGGCAGCAGUAGGGAAUCUUGCACAAUGGGGGCAACCCUGAUGCAGCAACGCCGCGUGGGGGACGAAGGUCUUCGGAUCGUAAACUCCUUUUCUGGGGGAUGAGAGAAGGACAGUACCCCAGGAAUAAGCCUCGGCUAACUACGUGCCAGCAGCCGCGGUAAGACGUGGGAGGCAAGCGUUAUCCGGAUUUACUGGGCGUAAAGCGCGUGUAGGCGGUGGUGUAAGUUGGGCGUGAAAUCUCCCGGCUCAACUGGGAGGGGACGUCUAAUACUGCAUCACUUGAGGGCAGUAGGGGGGAGUGGAACUCCCGGUGUAGCGGUAAUAUGCGCAGAUACCGGGAAGAACACCCGUGGCGAAGGCGGCUCCCUGGCCUGCUCCUGACGCUGAGACGCGAAAGCUAGGGGAGCGAUCGGGAUUAGAUACCCCGGUAGUCCUAGCCGUAAACGAUGGAUACUAGGCGUUGGUGGUACAAACCCAUCUGCGCCCAAGCUUACGCGCAAGUAUCCCGCCUGAGGAAUACGGCCGCAAGGCUGAAACUCAAAUGAAUUGACGG